UACAGAGGGGGCAAGCGUUGUUCGGAAUUACUGGGCGUAAAGGGCGCGUAGGCGGCCUGUUAAGUCGAACGUGAAAUCCCCGGGCUCAACCCGGGAACUGCGUCCGAUACUGGCAGGCUUGAAUCCGGGAGAGGGAUGCGGAAUUCCAGGUGUAGCGGUGAAAUGCGUAGAUAUCUGGAGGAACACCUGUGGCGAAGGCGGCAUCCUGGACCGGUAUUGACGCUGAGGCGCGAAAGCCAGGGGAGCAAACGGG
Molecule: ribosomal RNA, 253 nt
Filed under: uncultured bacterium
Lineage: Bacteria
Description: partial 16S ribosomal RNA
Rfam family: Bacterial small subunit ribosomal RNA
Source: RNAcentral